RNAcentral lists this long non-coding RNA (509 nucleotides) under Anser brachyrhynchus (Pink-footed goose). RNAcentral describes it as "lncRNA (ENSABRG00000016998.1)". The record is from RNAcentral. Lineage: Eukaryota; Metazoa; Chordata; Aves; Anseriformes; Anatidae.
AAAUAUCACUUCUGAUCUGAAGCCAACCAUGGAAUACAUUAAAGCAAAAGGGAUCUGGCUGAGGAAGCUGUAGACAAUUGAGAAAAAUAAAAGGCAUGGAGAUAUAUGGCCUUCUGGCACCAGUGAAAGCAGCAUGAGCCAGGAUUUAUGGCAUGUGGUCAGAACAGGAUAACUGGAUUUUCUUCUCAGGUGUACCAGCACUAUCCUGUGCUCAUCCCUCCCCUUCUUCCUCUCCUGAAGUAAUUCCUGGAAGAGAAGCCAAGAAAAAGUUCCUUAGGAUAAGGCUGUGCCAUGCUAAAAGGAACUUUCAAGGAAUCACAAUUCCUGAAAGCAAUUAUCUGCAUAUGUGUGAAGAUACACAACCAAAGCCCACCACAACAAAGGCAGACUCCCUGAGUUGACUGCGGUAGUUAUCCAAUGCUACAUGCUAACAGGCACAACGCUAUCAGCGACUUCUGUGCAAAAAACUUCCUGAGGGAGCUUGCAAUAAAAUAACUAGGUAAAUGCCA